GACGAACGCUGGCGGCGUGCCUAAUACAUGCCAGUUGAGCGCUGAAGGUUGGUACUUGUACCAACUGGAUGAGCAGCGAACGGGUGAGUAACGCGUGGGGAAUCUGCCUUUGAGCGGGGGACAACAUUUGGAAACGAAUGCUAAUACCGCAUAAAAACUUUAAACACAAGUUUUAAGUUUGAAAGAUGCAAUUGCAUCACUCAAAGAUGAUCCCGCGUUGUAUUAGCUAGUUGGUGAGGUAAAGGCUCACCAAGGCGAUGAUACAUAGCCGACCUGAGAGGGUGCACCGCCAAGAUGGGAACGGGGCACGGCCCAAACCCCCACGGGAGGCAGCCGGUGGGGAUCUUCGGCAAUGGACGAAAGUCUGAACGAGCAACGCCGCGUGAAUGAAGAAGGUUGUCGGAUCGUAAAACUCUGUUGGUAGAGAAGAACGUUGGUGGGAGUGGAAAGCUCAUCAAGUGACGGUAACUACCCAGAAAGGGACGGCUAACUACGUG
RNAcentral lists this ribosomal RNA (497 nucleotides) under uncultured bacterium. RNAcentral's name for it is "partial 16S ribosomal RNA". It matches the Rfam family "Bacterial small subunit ribosomal RNA", at positions 28 to 507 of the family's 1533-position model. The record is from RNAcentral.